Chinchilla lanigera (long-tailed chinchilla) is the source of this 848-nucleotide long non-coding RNA. RefSeq lists it as uncharacterized. Lineage: Eukaryota; Metazoa; Chordata; Mammalia; Rodentia; Chinchillidae. The record is from RefSeq and is a predicted model, not a curated record. The transcript is spliced from 3 exons.
AAUAAGGGAUAAAUGGUUGGAAUGAGGAUUUUUGCUCCCUGGAAACCUACCAGGAGAAAAAUUUGACUCCCAUGGUUUAGAGAAGAGCCAAUAGACAUAAUGUUAAAAUCAAGACCUAAUCCCUCAACCAAGGGAAGAAGCUGGGGAGGAAAAUGUGUGUGGGGGUGUGUGUGUAAUAUCUCUGGGAUGAGAGGGGUGGGGUCAGUUCCACAAGACUGGAGAUCAUUCAUCUAAGGAUCAGAAAAAAGAGGCUUGGAGACCACAGACUGCUCAAAACCCCUGAGACUGAGACGGGGUGGUGCCUGCUGCUGGCAGGAAGCAAGGGGUGCUCGGCUCUGAGCAGUGUGGCAUGAGACCCAGUGAGUUUACGUUGCAAGGGCAGGAGCCUGAGCACCUACUUCUCAAUGGCCCCUCGGUGUAUUCAGGUGCAGCCCCUACCGGCUGGAAGGAGGGAUUUUGCUGCCAGUCAGUCUGCUAAUCCACAGAGCACUCCUGGGUCAUUCCUCAGCCUGCACACCGGAGAACUACAGUUCUGCCCUUGAAGGGAAGGUGCCUCAGCUGUGCAAAGGAAGAGCCAGUGGAGGCUGCGGCAGCACCCGGAGACUCACAUCAACUGCGUUUCUUCCACUCCAGACGUCCGAGACGGCGAAGGGUCCCAAGUCGCAUCCUUGCAAAUGAUAUCAGCUUCUCAGAAAUCAUUCUUCAUUUAUGUGAAAGUCUGUGUCUUCCAAGAUCAACACCAGCAACUUCAGUACUUAAGAGGAAAGGUCAAGCCCCUUGAAUACAUUUAUCAGACUUCAUCAGAAACCCUGGGGAUAUCUAUAACUCUGAAUGUUAAAAGGAGCAAC